This 256-nucleotide ribosomal RNA is filed under the name uncultured bacterium. RNAcentral's name for it is "partial 16S ribosomal RNA". It matches the Rfam family "Bacterial small subunit ribosomal RNA", at positions 524 to 777 of the family's 1533-position model. The record is from RNAcentral.
UACGUAGGGGGCAAGCGUUGUCCGGAUUUAUUGGGCGUAAAGAGCGUGUAGGCGGCCAGGUAGGUGGGUUGUGAAAACUGGAGGCUCAACCUUCAGACGUCGACCCAAACCCCCUGGCUAGAGUCCGGAAGAGGAGAGUGGAAUUCCUGGUGUAGCGGUGAAAUGCGCAGAUAUCAAGGAGGAACACCGAUGGCGGAAGGCAGAUCUCUGGGCCGUAACUGACGCUGAGGAGCGAAAGCAUGGGGAGCGAACAGGG